RNAcentral lists this ribosomal RNA (427 nucleotides) under uncultured bacterium. Its description in RNAcentral is "bacterial SSU rRNA". It matches the Rfam family "Bacterial small subunit ribosomal RNA", at positions 355 to 774 of the family's 1533-position model. The record is from RNAcentral.
UGGGGAAUAUUGGACAAUGGGCGCAUGCUUGAUCCAGCCAUACUGCGUGGGUGAAGAAUGCCUUCUGUUUGUAAAGUUCUUUUGUUGGGAAAGAAAUCCUAUCGGUUAAUAACUGGUGGGGAUGACGGUACCUAAAGAAUAAGCACCGGCUAACUUCGUGCCAGCAGCCGCGGUAAUACGAAGGGUGCAAGCGUUACUCGGAAUUACUGGGCGUAAAGCGUGCGUAGGUGGUGGUUUAAGUCUGCUGUGAAAGCCCUGGGCUCAACCGGGGAAUUGCAAUGGAUACUGGAUCACUAGAGUGUGGAAGAGGGAUGCGGAAUUUCAGGUGUAGCAGUGAAAUGCGUAGAGAUCAGAAGGAACAUCCGUGGCGAAGGCGGCAUCCUGGGCCGACACUGACACUGAGGCACGAAAGCGUGGGGAGCAAACA